Long non-coding RNA from Bos taurus (domestic cattle), 934 nucleotides. The record is from Ensembl. NCBI's taxonomy places the organism in Eukaryota, Metazoa, Chordata, Mammalia, Artiodactyla, Bovidae.
GUGAGUUAUUUUGAUAUUUAGGGUAAGGAAAAAAGAAUCCCCUUUUCAUAUCCUUCCAACUGCGGAGUUUUUUUUUAACCCCUUUCCCGUGAGGUGGGAACUCAUCUUCGUGGUCGAAUUUAAAAGAACAAUGGAACCCUGACUACGUUUCAACAAAAAAUAAAAACUUGUUUUUUUUUUUUUCCUUUUGGGUGUUGGCUUUUAACUCUUUCCAAGCCGAUUUUGAAAACGGCUGCAGUGUUACAGAUGAAAAGAAUAUAUUUGUCUUCGUCCUGCGGUAGCUCGUGUGGUGUUGUGGAGGUGAAGAUCUACGUAAAAAUAGUGUUGGGCAGAUUUACGUAGUACUUGUAAAAUCACAGGUAACUUACAAGAUUAAAAUUAAAUUUGAUUGACGAUGAUUCUGAACAAAUAUGCUGUUUAUUUGAGGUAUGCCAUUUUGAAGACUGAGACCAUGGAAUUUUGUCCUUGAGGAUAAAUCUUUGUGAUAGUCUGUAUUUUGUAUAGCAAGAAUAUGAAUCCUGAAGCUGAAUUACCUAAGGGGCCUCUACGGUGAAGUGAAAUAGAUGUUGGUGGAAGCAUUUACACCCAGUCAGCUUGAAGAGUCUCAAAUGGACCCUACCACUGAGAAAUCAAGAUGGCAGUCCACUAUGGGGAAUUGAGAAAAAUGGAUUAAUACAAGAGUGCUGUGAUAAUAUACAACCAAGACAGGGUUCUUUUAACAUGGAUUUCAUGAAAUGAAUGAAGAUAUAGGUUUUUUAACAGCACAAAUGGACAGUAAAUUUGUCUUUCUAGAGACUUUUUGUAUCAUUAGGAAUAUUUUUGACAUUUGGAGAAAAAGAUGGCACAUUAACAGAUGAUAGUUUGUAUGCCUGGAAUUUUUUCAGUUUGAUUUGUAUGAGUAUGACCUUGUGGAAUGUUAACUUUAAUAAAAUUU